Molecule: ribosomal RNA, 819 nt
Filed under: bacterium enrichment culture clone IsoM-6
Lineage: Bacteria
Description: bacterial SSU rRNA
Rfam family: Bacterial small subunit ribosomal RNA
Source: RNAcentral
AGAGUUUGAUCAUGGCUCAGGACGAACGCUGGCGGCGUGCCUAACACAUGCAAGUCGAGCGGGGAGAGAUUUUCGGAUUUCUCUUUAGCGGCGGACGGGUGAGUAACACGUGGGUAACCUGCCUCAAAGAGGGGGAUAGCCUUCCGAAAGGAAGAUUAAUACCGCAUAAUAUCAGGGAGCUGCAUGGCAUUCUGAUCAAAGGAGCAAUCCGCUUUGAGAUGGACCCGCGGCGCAUUAGCUAGUUGGUGAGGUAACGGCCCACCAAGGCGACGAUGCGUAGCCGACCUGAGAGGGUGAUCGGCCACAUUGGAACUGAGACACGGUCCAGACUCCUACGGGAGGCAGCAGUGGGGAAUAUUGCACAAUGGGGGAAACCCUGAUGCAGCAACGCCGCGUGAGUGAUGAAGGCCUUCGGGUCGUAAAGCUCUUUGAUCAGGGACGAUAAUGACGGUACCUGAAAAACAAGCCACGGCUAACUACGUGCCAGCAGCCGCGGUAAUACGUAGGUGGCGAGCGUUGUCCGGAUUUACUGGGCGUAAAGAAUGCGUAGGUGGAUAUUUAAGUGGGAUGUGAAAUCCCCGGGCUCAACCCGGGAACUGCAUACCAAACUGGAUAUCUGGAGUGCAGGAGAGGAAAGCGGAAUUCCUAGUGUAGCGGUGAAAUGCGUAGAUAUUAGGAGGAACACCAGUGGCGAAGGCGGCUUUCUGGACUGUAACUGACACUGAGGCAUGAAAGCGUGGGGAGCAAACAGGAUUAGAUACCCUGGUAGUCCACGCCGUAAACUAUGGGUACUAGGUGUAGGGGUAUCGACUCCCCCUG